AGUAAUUGUUGGGAGGUUGUGCUUUAGCCACUUGUUAUGUUGCCGUGUGUCUGAAACCAGCUAAGUUCUGCUCAUAUCAGUGUAGUCACCUUUCCCUGAGACGUGAUGACUGAGGCUGCAUUCCUAGGCCUAGAUUCUGUCUGCUAAUACAUUUUGUUUAAUGUUGGUGAACACGAACUCUGACUUUGAUAGCUUAUUUAAGGGGACAGUUCUUAGUGUUUACUAGCUUAUUUUGAAAUGUUCAGACUCUUGUGGCAGUUGUUAAAAGAGUAGAGAACUUCACCACAGCUCUGGUUAGGAAAUUAGGAAGAGAGUUUUCUCUCCAGGUUUAGGAGCUAAAGAGCCCAGAGACCCCAGGCACAACAGGGAUCAUCACAUGGCCUAAAAAAUUAUAUCAACUCAUUCCUUAUCUUUUCCAAGCCAGUGAUCUUGUUUUUCCAUUUCUGGUGUUUGAUUCUCUUUUUCUUUCUUUUGAGAUUGGGCCUCACUGUGUAUCCAGGCCUGGAACUUUGCUUUGUAGACCAGGCUGGCCUUGAACUUACAGGGAUCUGCCUGCCUCUGCCUCAUGUUCUGGAUGCACCACAAUUCCCAACCCCAUUUUCUUUAUGGUCCUCAGCAGCAAAGAUCACAGCACUUUGUCAAGGCAUCAAGCACUUCAGAAAGUACCACUGAACUCAGGGCUUUUGUCCAUUGGUAGUGUGAUGCUCUUAAGGAAAGGAUUUCUACCUUGUUUGCCCCUGCCUCACUGGCAGUGAACAGACAAGAGACCUCUCUCGGCUACCAAGAGCUAAGUAUCAUAUCUAUCUUACCUGUUGUGCUAUUUUUUUCAGACAGGGUUUCACUGUGGGGUCCUGGCUGGUCUGGAACUCAGAGAUCUGCCUAUCCCUGCAUCUAGAGUGCUACGAUUAAAAGCAUGCUGUCAUGCCCAGCCACCUGUUGUACUUUGAAGGGUCAUGGCUGCCUUAUGUUCUUUUCUUGGGCUUGCUUAGUCAUCUGAGAGCAUCUGAACCUAGUUCCAUCCCUAAGUGUGCAGCCAGGAGUGUAUCUUCUCUUUUCAACUCUCACGUUUUUAUCACCAAAAUGAGGCUGUUGAAAGAAAAGGGAAGCCUCUAGAAAUCUUAGAAAGAAAAACCUUGUGAUAUAGUUCUCUGCCAAAAUCCUGUCCUCCCUUUGGCUUCUAACCAGACAAAUCCAAAUGAGACAGGAAAACCAAAGCAGAAACUUAUGUAGAAACUUGGUGGAAAUUAGCUUGCCUUGUUGUUCUGCUCUUAGUGGGUCCAAAAGUAGACAGAGAGUAUGGAAGCCAACAUUUGGGACAGAAAGCUUUUGUUCCCACACCCCCUGUUUACCUCGGAGUCUGCUAUAAUGUCUAGAAUGAGAUCUGGAACUGCUUAGACGUGACACUUUCUGGAUAGGAAGGGGAUGCUUUCCCCUUAUUACUAGGCUCAACCUUCAGUCUGGAUAGCUAAUGUAACUGCAGUGUGAGAUGGUGUUUGCCUAAUUAAUGUGCUCCUGGCAACGUUCUGUCUAAAGAUGUUGGUCUUCAGGAUAAUCACACACAUAAAACUGUUGUGUGACAUUAAUAACAACAAGGAUCCUGGGAGACACAAGAAGUCAGUGUAAGACCUAGUCUGCUGUCAUAACUUUCAGCCUGUAAGCAAUGAAAGUCCCAUGGAUGAUACCAGAUGAUGGUAGUAGACCCAUAGUAUAUUGGGAUCAAUUGCCAAAUCCCCCAAAUCAGGUUUCCAGGUUCAUUAAUGACCCUUAAAGACUUGAAUGUGAGAUCUGCACCUGAAAAAGAGUCAAAGCCUCAUCCACAGGGUGAUGAUCAUCCUCAGCUAGAGCUGAGGAAGAGCUGCCUACUGAACCUGUGAUGUAGAGCUAGAUAACAUCUAAAAUUCAUCUGAACCCGACAGACUUACCAAAUAUACACAGUUAAUAGUUGGAGGCCUGUGUGCAUGACUGCUGCAGAUGCAUCCUAAUGUCUAAUCUGUAAGGAGCCAUAGCCAGCGGGGAUCUAAACUGGCCAAAAGUGAAUUAUAGUUCAAAUAACAACUGAACGAGAGCCAUAAAAGCAGCUGGGUGAUGGUGCUGCACACCUUUAAUGCCAGCACUCGCAGGAGGCAGAAGCAGGAGGAUCUCUGAGCUUAAGCCCAGCCUGAUGUAUAGAGGGAGUUCCAGGACAGCCAGGGAUACACAGAGAAACCUGUCUUGAAAAGCAAAAACAAAAGCCAUAAAACCAAAUAAAAGGGAAUGUGCAGGGCUAUCCCAAAAACAAACAGCAUAAACAUGUGGGAUCCUAAUCUCUAGUCUGGCUAAGAGCAAGGACUUAAGCCAAUCUCCUAACAAGUAGACCCCAUUUGUUGUCAAAGAUUCAGAAGUGGCUCAUUGGAAACUCUACCAUCUAAUAAAAGUUUUCAGCAAAUAGAAUCUCUUUGCCAUCUGGUGCCUUGAGAGAAACUAUACAUUUACUCCUGUAAUUAAGAGGCACCUGUACCCUGGCGCUCAUGACCAGUCCCUGUAGAGAAGAAACCCCAGAAGAGUCCUAUUCAUCUGCCCCCUAUAUGGUGGCACAAAGACUUCCUCAGAGUGUAUUCAGGAGUUGGCACCAACCAGGUUUACAGCUCGCUAGAUUUUUUUUUUUUUUUUUUUUGAUUGUGGACAUUGGAUGAGCCUCAGGUUCAGCCACAUAUAUGAAAAUAAAUGUAAGUUGGUUAAUUGUUUAGAAAAAUGAAAUAUAAUUGAUCCCUUCCUACUGGGUAUUUGAUAAUAGAAACACCUUAGUCAUGAACUCUAGAGAGAGCCAUGUUCUGCUUCCUCAUUAAUAAACUAUAAAGUUUCUGGUAGGGACUCCACUAGGCUUCUCUUGAGACGAUACUUAGCCAGGCUCUGUGGCUUAUGAAACAAUAGCAAAGUCUAUCUCAGUCCCAAAAAGUCUCCCUGAAAAAAAAUAAGUACCUAAGUUUCUUUAUUUCAAUGGGAUGGAAGACCCAAGUUUGUGUCAUAAUUCUUGAGAGAGACAGGGCAUUCCUUCCCUCCUCUUAUGCUUCAGCUUCUUGGACAAGAAAGCAGCCUCUGCAGUUGCCUGAGUAGCAAGGAGACAUUUCUGAUGAGGAUCUGAUGUUGUUAUGUUCAUAUACGUUUGUUUGAAUUGAUAUUUUUGACUCUUCAUUCUGGUUCUCUGUAGCAAAGAGUCAGUCUCUUAUCAUAUGGGAUAUAUUCAACAGGCUGUUCUUUUUUCAAGUUUCAGGCUUCUGUAAACAAUAUAUUUGGGAGUUCAAAAUUAGGGACUGGAGUGAUAACUCAGUCAAGUGCUUGCCAUGCAAGCAUGAGCACCUGAGUCUAAUCUGUAGAACCUGUUU
This 3362-nucleotide long non-coding RNA is filed under the name Mus musculus (house mouse). RNAcentral describes it as "long non-coding RNA chr6:47867330-47870692". Lineage: Eukaryota; Metazoa; Chordata; Mammalia; Rodentia; Muridae. The record is from RNAcentral.